GGAGUCUAACAUGUGCGCAAGUCAUUGGGUAAAUAAACCUAAAGGCGAAAUGAAAGUAAAGAAAGCUUUGCUUUUUGAGGGAGGAUGGUCACUUAGCUUCUAGCGGUGGCCCGCACUCCCGGGGCGUCUCUUUCUCAUUGCGAGUGGAGGCGCACCAAGAGCGUACACGUUAGGACCCGAAAGAUGGUGAACUAUGCCUGGUCAGGACGAAGCCAGGGGAAACCCUGGUGGAGGUCCGUAGCGAUUCUGACGUGCAAAUCGAUCGUCAGAGCUGGGUAUAGGGGCGAAAGACUAAUCGAACCAUCUAGUAGCUGGUUCCCUCUGAAGUUUCCCUCAGGAUAGCUGGUGCCCAAGAGACAAGAGUCUCAUCCGGUAAAGCGAAUGAUUAGAGGCAUUGGGGCCGAAACGACCUCAACCUAUUCUCAAACUUUAAAUAGAUGAGAUCUUUGGCUUGCUUAAAAGUGAAGUCAAAGACUUGGAUCAGGGUGCCCAGUGGGCCAAUUUUG
Molecule: ribosomal RNA, 506 nt
Filed under: Tenagobia schadei
Lineage: Eukaryota; Metazoa; Arthropoda; Insecta; Hemiptera; Corixidae
Description: partial large subunit ribosomal RNA
Rfam family: Eukaryotic large subunit ribosomal RNA
Source: RNAcentral